CGACCGGCGCACGGGUGAGUAACACGUAUGGAACCUGCCCGCAGCAGGGGGAUAAGCGGAAGAAAUUCCGUCUAAUACCGCGUAACACCGCAGAGGGGCAUCCCUCGGCGGUUAAAGAUUCAUCGGCUGCGGAUGGCCAUGCGGCGCAUUAGCUAGUCGGCGGGGUAACGGCCCACCGAGGCGAUGAUGCGUAGGGGUUCUGAGAGGAAGGUCCCCCACACUGGUACUGAGACACGGACCAGACUCCUACGGAAGGCAGCAG
RNAcentral lists this ribosomal RNA (262 nucleotides) under uncultured bacterium. Its description in RNAcentral is "partial 16S ribosomal RNA". It matches the Rfam family "Bacterial small subunit ribosomal RNA", at positions 92 to 354 of the family's 1533-position model. The record is from RNAcentral.